Molecule: non-coding RNA, 132 nt
Organism: Gossypium hirsutum (cotton)
Lineage: Eukaryota; Viridiplantae; Streptophyta; Magnoliopsida; Malvales; Malvaceae
Source: Rfam
UACUAAAAAAUUCAUUUAUUUUUAUUGUUAAAAAUUUGUGAUUGAUAGAAGAAUCAUAUGGUGUGUCACGUGUACUUCAUUUUAUAUAUAUUGAUCAGUUUUUAACCGUAGAAAUGAAUAAAAAUUUUAACA